This is a long non-coding RNA of Polypterus senegalus (gray bichir), 1034 nucleotides long. RefSeq lists it as uncharacterized. NCBI's taxonomy places the organism in Eukaryota, Metazoa, Chordata, Cladistia, Polypteriformes, Polypteridae. The transcript is spliced from 3 exons. The record is from RefSeq and is a predicted model, not a curated record.
UCUAAAGAGGCCGAAGAUAUACAGAAAGUUUAUACAGGAUACUGAAAGUAAAAGGUUUUGAGUUUAGCACUGUUACAAGCUCUGUCCUUUCACAAUGGCAUGAGCAAGCAGUCCAGCUGAACUGACUUUUACUGUUGGAUUUUGGAAUGAGAAAUGGCUUUGUAGUAGAAGUAGCAGACAGCCCUCGCACUCCAUCUGCCAGAAUGCGGAGUACAGCAAUACAAUUCCCUGAACCGAGAAGAGAUGGCUUGUUUGGCAUGAUCUUGUUUUAACACAGGGUUGUGGGGCUGAAGGUAUCUCUGCAGCACUGGGUGCAUGGAGGCACACUCACCCACACGAGGCUAAAUUUGGAGUUGCCAGUUAAUUAAAGCUGAACAUGUCUGCGAUGUGGGAGGAAAACUACAGUGAAACCCAGGUAGACGUGAUGAAAAUGUGCAAAAGAUUUGAAGGACAGGCUUUUAGCGCAGUGAUUGAGCAACACCAUCAUUGUGCCACUGCAAGGCUGAAUAUUUUUAAUGAAUUUUACAAAUCUGUUACCAUAAGAUGUUUUCAGACACUGUCAGAGCAGCAAAGUUGGAAACAAAGAACAUCUGAAAGUGGCUUUCUAAGAGAGAAGCUGUGGUCUGAUGAUGAAGGUGCCACCCAAAGCCCCGCAAAUCUGAUGGGGGCCAGGAGACUGUCCUGGAGAAUGACAAAAUAAGUAUUCACAGCCCCUGAAUUUUCCUUUCUUUUCCCUACAAUACACCUGCUCCAUUUUAUUUACUUUGCCGUAUGGUAAUGCAGAAUUCUUGUAUGUUUAACUGAACGACUUAGUAUUAACAAAGUGAUUAGCUGAGAUGACUUUUGAAAUCCAGUGACUGCUGAAUGUGUUACUUUCAAAACAAAGAUGCUCCAGAUAAGGGCAGGUUUGGGUCAACUGACAGCUGAAAAAUCAUCAAUACUACAGAGAUCAUUUUUUUCUUGUUAAAGAGACACAUUAAAAGAUCAAAUAAUGUUUACAAGAAAUGUUAGGAAUAUUGAAAGAAUACACUAAA